UACAGAGGGUGCGAGCGUUGUCCGGAAUCACUGGGCGUAAAGGGCGCGUAGGUGGCGCCGCAAGUCCAUGGUGAAAGCUCGAUGCUCAACAUCGAGUCGGCCACGGAGACUGCGGGGCUCGAGCACUGUAGGGGCAGAUGGAAUUCCGGGUGUAGCGGUGGAAUGCGUAGAGAUCCGGAGGAACACCCGUGGCGAAGGCGGCUCUCUGGGACGGUACUGACACUGAGACGCGAAAGCGUGGGGAGCGAACAGG
RNAcentral lists this ribosomal RNA (253 nucleotides) under uncultured bacterium. RNAcentral's name for it is "partial 16S ribosomal RNA". It matches the Rfam family "Bacterial small subunit ribosomal RNA", at positions 524 to 776 of the family's 1533-position model. The record is from RNAcentral.